CUGUCUUUAGCAACACAUAUGCUGGAAUUGAAAUGAUACACAGAAGAUUGGCACAGCCCUUGUACAAAGAUGACAUGUGAAUUUGUGAAACGAUCAAACAUAAG
Small nuclear RNA from Pteronotus mesoamericanus, 104 nucleotides. The record is from RefSeq and is a predicted model, not a curated record. Lineage: Eukaryota; Metazoa; Chordata; Mammalia; Chiroptera; Mormoopidae.